AUGGCCUCGCUGCCGCCGCAUCCCCGCCGGAUUCGGCCCAUCGCCGUGGCCUCCCUGGUGCUCUUCCUCCUCUUCCUCUACACCCGCUCGGAUGGGAACCCUCCGCGGCUCCCGGGCUCCGAUUCGCGCCCGCUCCACCGGAGGCUCCUCUCCGGUGCCGAUCCCGCCAGCCCCGCCGCGUCCAGAGGCGGGAACCUUUCGGAGGUCACCGGGCUGAACGGCGAGCAGCUGGAGAACCCCUCCACCGCGUGCGCCGGCAUCGACCGCCACGAGGGUUUCGGGUCCCAGUGCGAGUUCCUCCGGGCUCACCCGCAGUGCAGCUCCGGCGGGUUCGUCGACUACCUGGACUUCUUCUACUGCAGCCUAGAGAAGAUGUCUGCGCUGCUGCGGCUACCGCCGACAGUGGCUGGUGUUACCCUGCUCCCCUUUGGUAAUGGUGCUCCUGAUGUGUUUGCCAGCAUUGCAGCGUUUAUGGGGUCUGGCGCCGGGGAUGUCGGGCUGAACAGCGUGCUGGGCGGAGCGGUGUUUGUUACCUGCGUCGUUGUUGGGGCAGUAUCAUUGUCCGUCGCGGAGAAGAAUGUGCAGAUUGAUUGGAGGUGCUUUGUGAGGGAUGUUGGAUUCUUCCUGAUCACUUUGGUGGCACUGUCUAUUAUGUUGAUUGUCGGGAAGGUGACCGUUUGGGGAGCUAUGCUGUUUGUAUCGAUUUAUGUGGUUUAUGCAUUUGUGGUGGCUGCAAAUGAGUUAUUAAGGAAGCAUGCACGGAUGCUGAAGUUUGAUGUAGUCACACCAUUGCUUCCGGUGAGGGGAAGUAUCUUCUCACACGGACUAGAGGAUGAUGAUUCUGUGUACAGUUCACUUCUUGAGGAGGAUACAAGUGAUGACGCGGCCCAGGUAAACACAUCAUUGCCGCAGUGGAUGUGGGCUUCUCAUGUGGCUAUCUACUCAAAUCAAGGGAGAGAUGGUUCACCUGACAGGCCUUUGUGGGGUUGGAAUGAAGAAGGAAGAGUGGAUACCUCCACGCUUAACUACUCCAAACUGUUUCUGUUUUUGGAGCUACCCUUGACAAUACCAAGAAAGUUGACGAUUCCAAUAGUUGAGGAAGACCGCUGGUCACAAGAAUAUGCUGUUGCCAGUGCUGGCUUGGCACCUCUACUCUUAGCAUUUCUGUGGAACAGCCAGGAUGGAGUAUCCACGGGUGCCAGCGUAGCAGCAUAUGUGAUUGCUGGUAUUUUUGGGAUUGCACUUGCAGGUCUUGCUUUUACAUUCACCAGUCCCGACCGCCCUCCAAGGAGAUACUUACUCCCAUGGGUGUUUGGAGGGUUUGUGAUGAGCAUCGUUUGGUUCUACAUCAUUGCCAAUGAGCUGGUUGCACUGUUGGUUGCAUUUGGAGUGAUACUUGGGAUUAAUCCUUCAAUUCUCGGUUUAACGGUGUUAGCAUGGGGCAAUUCGAUGGGUGACUUAAUGUCAAAUGUGGCCUUGGCAAUGAAUGGUGGAGAUGGUGUACAGAUUGCUAUGUCUGGCUGUUAUGCAGGACCUAUGUUUAAUACACUUGCUGGCCUAGGAAUAUCGAUGCUACUUGGAGCUUGGUCGACGGCACCCAACUCUUAUGUUCUUCCGCAGGACCGCUCUCUUAUUUACACGAUGAGCUUCCUGGUUGCUGGGUUGAUCUGGGCGCUUGUUACGCUGCCACGAAGCGGCAUGCGACCUAACAAGACGCUUGGAGUUGGCCUCAUUGCUCUCUACUCAGUUUUCCUUUUCAUUAGAGUAAGCAGUGCUAUGGGGAUAUUGCCACUCCCGGGCUUGAAUUAG
RNAcentral lists this ribosomal RNA (1809 nucleotides) under Triticum aestivum (bread wheat). Its description in RNAcentral is "partial small subunit ribosomal RNA". The record is from RNAcentral. Lineage: Eukaryota; Viridiplantae; Streptophyta; Magnoliopsida; Poales; Poaceae.